Molecule: long non-coding RNA, 1143 nt
Filed under: Gadus morhua (Atlantic cod)
Lineage: Eukaryota; Metazoa; Chordata; Actinopteri; Gadiformes; Gadidae
Description: lncRNA (ENSGMOG00000028181.1)
Source: RNAcentral
AUGCUACUGAGAGUUCUCGUUGAUGAGCCCCUCAGCAGUGGAGCAGCCGAACGAGGCUUCCUGGUAAGUGAUGCAAGCCUCCUGGCGGUGCUGGCACGUCUGGAGAACAUGCACGUGUGCGUGAUCGGCGUGACGACGUCCGCGGGCGGGUCAAAGGUCAUCCGGGACCUUCUCGCGUUGCUGACGCGUUUCGUGGACCUCCUGGUGGGCGUGUCCAGGAUGGCGCUGUCAGCCGGAGGGUUGAAGGUCAGCCGGGCGCGGGUGGAGCCAAGGGGGGUGCCGACGGGGACAGCGUCCCGACGAGGGUUGGUCUGGGCAGACCCACUGGGGGGUGUCAUGCCGGGAGACGCAGGAGCUGGCAGAGGGGGCGUGGCGAGGGUCCGGCGCCGUUGCAGGGCGGAAGCGCUGGUCUGGGCAAACACAUGGGGAGGUGUCGUGCCGGGAGAUGCAGGAGCUGGCAGAGGGGAAGUGGCGAGGGUCCGGCACCAGGGCAGGGCGGAGGUAGGCGUCGUCCUCUGCGGCAGGGGCGCGGCCGGAGGGGGUCUCGAGCCUGCAGCAGGGCGUCCGCGUGUCCUGGCGGAGGCGGUGGCCGUACUGGCGAGCGGCCCAGGAGGCAGCCACAUCAAAGUUGCGCCGCCAGGCAGGGUCCGCAAGGCAGGAGAGCUCACUCACCUUCUGGGCCACCGUAGCCCUGUAGUGGUCCCGCAGGAGGAUGGUGGUGGUGUGUCCCCAGUUGCGAGCGUUGCCAUCAAUGAAGCCAAGGGUCGCGGCGUUGGGGACAGCAGGGCGGCUGCGGAUGGAGGCCGUCAAGGAGCCGGUGAGCCUGGCGAUGAUGGGGAGAGGGUCCGGGCCGGAGGCGUUGUCCAGGUGGUGGGCCGCCUUGAUGGCCGCGAGGAUGAGGCGGUUCUUGAGCGCGAAGUCCGGGUCAUCGGAACGGGGGAAGUCCGUAGUUACAGACUCUCAGAGGUCAUUCGUUAUUUGAUUGUCCUUGUUGGACCGUAUGUAGGCAAUGCUACACAAAGGAGCCGUGCAUUUACUGUUGCGCAGUGUGUCUGUGUUUCAAGUUCAAUGGUGGCCCCACAUGUUCAACGUACAUUAACCAUGGAUAGUCAAGCGCCGUGUUGUCCAUUAUCCCUUACAUAA